UUGUCGACUUAUGUGCUUGUAUAUGCAUAUACGUUGGUUUGCAUGCUUGAAGCAAAAGGCUUAAAUAGCAAUGAUAAGAUUAAAAUCUUGAUUACGGUAGACUGUAGACCCCGUUUAAACCCUCCAUUACCUAAGAAUUAUAUUGGUAAUUGUGUUAGCUCCUUUGAUGUGGUUGUGGAAGGAGAAGAUCUAAUGAAAGAGAAUGGGGUUGCGUAUGUUGCGAAGAGGCUUACUGAGAUGAUAAAAGGAUUAGAGAAUAGAUCAGUUUUUGAGGGUGCAAAGGAGAGGUUACCAUACAAUGACUGGGAACCAGAUAUUCGACAGGUUCGAGCUGCUGGGACAAACCGAUUUGGGAUGUAUGGGGCAGAUUUUGGAUGGGGGAAGCCAAGCAAUGUGGAGGUUACGACCAUAGAUAGAUUGGAUGCCUUUUCUAUUAUGGAGAGCAAAGACGAAAGUGGUGGAGUUGAAGUUGGUUUAGUCUUGAAGGAGCAUGAAAUGAAACUAUUCGGUUCUCUAUUUGCCAGUGGCCUUCGAAUGUAAACGGUAAUCUUGUGCCUCACUAGGACAUGCCUCUACCAGUUUUUUUUUUUUUUUAAUGUAUGCUGUGCUUUAAUUUCUUGGACUUUUGGAGUUAUUUAUGUAAUGCUAUUUGCUUGUGCUUGUGAAAUUUUGAUUAUCUUUUGCUAAAGCUACGUUUAUAAUAACUUUUUAUAAAUUCUCUUCCAGUAAAUUAUUUCCAUAAAUUCUACCAAAAUUAUAUAUAUAUAUAUCACACAAAUGUUUUUAAAAAUUUACACUACUAAAAAAUGUAUUAAUUAGCAACUGAUUACUCUGUUGUAGAUAAUACUAAAAUCCGUUGCUAAAACAAUUUAGCAACGGAAUCAGCAACGGAAAAAAUCCGAUGCAGAUUUGUCGUUGCUGAUUUUUGAGCAACGGAUUUGUCCGUUGCUGAUUCUGCAGCAACGAAAAAUCCAUUGCUGACAAUCAACAACGGAGUUUCCGUUGCUAAAAUGAGCAACGGAUUUUCCAUUGCUGAUUUGUUAGCAUCGGAAAAAUCCGUUGUUGUUUCACGAAACCAGCAACGGAUUUUCCGUUGCUGAUUGAUGAAUUAUUUACAAUUAGCAACGGAUUCUCCGUUGCUGAAUAUAUUAUUUUUAUUAAAUUAAUUAUUUUUAUUUAUCAAAAUGAAUUUUAAUUUGUUUAAUUAAUUAUUUAUAGAUAUUUUAAAAGUUGUAGCAUAUAUAUAACCAACAUAAAUUAAUAUUAAAAAUAAAUGUAUCACUAAUAAAAAAAUGGAAUAGAAAUAAUAUUCAUAUUAUGAAAAUUUAUUUAAACUUGCAUUAAUACAAAUAAGUCGAAAUACAAUAAAAACAAACAACAAAAGAUACAAUCAUGGUGCUGGUUGCGGAGACGAACCAUGAUACUGUGGAUCGACACAAGAUGAAUCAGGAUAUAGUGGUCGAGGUGUAGGUCGAUAAAUUGGUUGAGAUGUGGGACCUAUAUGUGUCAUUAUCUGGGGAGCCAUAGGUGGUGGCAUUGAUGGGGCCAAAGGUGAUGGCAUACCUUGGCCAAUAUUUGAUGUCCCACCAUGGUAUCCAAGAUUGUUCACAAGAUAUUCUUUCAUGGAAUCCAUCUGCCGUUUCAUUUCAAGAAUAAAAUCUUCUUUUUUCUUUAUCUUCUCUUUUUUAUUCUUUAUCUCCUUUUGUAAUGCCCGAUACGAUGAACUAGGAUAUGAUGACUCCACCGAGUAGGAAUGUGAUGAAGAGCUUGUACUAACUAUAGAUUUUGGCAUACGAGGUGCACCAUAUACCCUACCCUUUGUAACUCCUCCUGAAGCCACACAACAAGCUGCUCCAUCAAAUGAAGGAUGAUUUUCCCGAUUAGUUCCAUACUUUGAAAUCAUCUCUAUUUUAUAAUUUUCCUACAAAUAAAAUACAUGCAAUAAUAAAUUCAUUUGAAUGUUAAAUAAUACUUAAGUUAUAACAAUAAUAAUAAAAAAAUACAUACAACCACUUUUUUAGACUUGUUGUCGAUGAAGUUACCAGACUGCUUAGUACUUUGAUGCAAAGCUGAAAAGACAUCAUCCCAUGGGGGUUCUUUUCCACCAGCUUCCUCUUGCUUUCAAGAUUAAUAAAUAUUAUAAAGGAUAAAUAUAAAAAAUUUAAUUCAUUAUCUUAAGCAAAAAAAAAAAAAAUUCCUUACCAUGUGAGCUCAAUAUGAUGCAAAUGACACUGUUCCUCCAAAAUGAGUGCUUAUUUUGCCAUCUAUUUUGGUUAAUCGAUUCCUCAUAGCAGAUUCCGACCUCCUUUGAAAUUCAGGGGUGGACCAAACAUCUUUGAUCAUUUGAUUCCAUUCAUCAUUGUUUAUCCAAGCAGGACCUUUAUCAAGGCAAUCUAUAAUGUUUGUAGUGUUUCCAUUUGACAUGGCUUUCUUGCGAGCUCGUGUCAAUUGUUGAUUCAAAGCAAUCCUAGCCUUAUCUUCCCAAAUUUUACGAACAAUCGACUCAUCUUCCUCAGGAAAGGAAUAUUUUUUCUACCAAAUAAUAUAUAUAUAUACCAAGUAAAAAGAGUGCACAAAAUUUCAAAGUAUGGAAAUGAUUAAUCAUAUUAUGUUAUCUUGUUCAGAAUUUGCAAGAUUAUGUAAUAACUAAAGAAAUUAAAUGAUAUUAAAGAGUAAAUAAGAAAUAAGAACAAAUUAGAACACAAAUAAGUCCCUACUACAAUACAUGUGUUGGAUAUGAGAAGCAUAUUUAUGGUUAUCUGUAAAUAAAAAAGGAGAGGAAUAUGACAACUCCUUAAUCCAUAUCUUAUUGAUUCAGCAAACUACAUAAAAAACUAAACACCCCACAGAUAAAAGAAAAGGAAUAUAAAGCAAGUGAAUCCUGACAAGAUUUUCAAUUCCACAUGCAGGUUCAAAAAUCAAUACCCCAACACAUAUCAAUAAAGUAGUCUCAAUGAAAGAGCGAAUAUAUUUCCAUUUGAACCCAAACACAAACAAAUUACAAGAAUAUUAUAAACAUAUCAAAGAAAAGAAUAUGGCAAUUAAUGAUGGUUCUUACCUUAAACUCCUUAAAGAGCUCAUCCCUGCACAUUGAAUCUACUUUUUCCCAAGAAUGCCAUGCUCCCUUAAAAUUAGACCUCAAAAUAUCUCUGAUUGCACGUCCACACAAUGCGUUAUUGAACCUGAAAAAAUAUAAUAACAAACUUUUAUUAAACAAAUAAUUACAUAAUAAUAAGUAAUGUUUUUUCAAACCUGAAAAUAUAACCUUAAUAAGUUAGUUUUUAAAAGUUUCAACUUACUCUGUUGUUCCAUAUAAACAAAGCUCUUUUUUUCUUGUCAUUGGAUCUAUUUGUGUGUCAAAACCCUUCCUUUUAACACUUCGAUCAUAAUUGUAUGCAGAACAGGUUGAACCGUGGUUUGAUGGGACGCCAUAAUGAUCCUCAUCAUAUACACCUCUCUCAUUACUACCAGCUCUCUCAUCACAUGCACCUCUAUAAUUACUACUGUCUCCCUCAUCUUCAUCUCUAAUAUUCGCAUCAUCAUCAGUAUCACCAUCAUCACCCUCAACUCUCUCAUAACUCCUAUAUGCAUUAUGUCCUCCAUAAACAAGUUGGUUGUCUCGAGAGAAACCUCCUUGAGUUUGAAGCAAAUCUUGGAAGCGAAAGCCCUCACAAAGUUGAUAUGCAUCAACCCUCCCAUAAUCAUGUUGAGGAUGAUGUGUACUCCUCAAAGUAGGUAUAUAAUACUCCUUCAAGUUCUAAUACACAGGUUGUUGAAACGUGGCUCCUUUGUUAUUACGCCUUGAUGGAGUUUGAAAUGAUUUGGAUGAAGUGGACCUGUCACUCCUUGAAGUGGACCUGUCACUCCUAGAAUCUAAUAUGGAUCCUCAUCAAGGCAUGCUAAAAACUAGAAAAAAUAUAUGCAUUACUGUCAAUAAUUAUUGAGUUGAGAAAAUAUAAAACCAACCAAACUGCACAAUUAUAUCAAAGAAGGAAUGCAAAAUUGUUUCCUUUGUUCUUCAUACAGGUCAUAUAUAUCAUUGAAGAAUCAGGCAUGGAUAGAAGCUAAGCAUAAAAAUAAAAACAUCAUAAAUUAAUUAGUGGUGAUUAAUUAAUUAAUCACCUCAAAUUUAUGUGCAAAUGUAUACUUGUCAGGCAGCAAUAGAGCACCUCAAUAAUCAUGGAAUUAAAUGGUAGUGAUCAAAGCAUGAUGAGAUUGGAGCUGGCAAUGAUGUCCUUAACACGUGAUUCCAUUACCUUUAUUUCACUAGUCAACGUAUUAGAUAUUUGGAUUGGCUGAUGGCCAUAGCUUUAGACUUAAGCAAAUCACCAUAUUGGUCAUUGUCAGUGCUUAAUGCCUAACCGAAUAUUAUUAGAUCUAAGCAUUAUCCCUUUUAAGUUUUAAGUAUGAUGCUGGAAAGGUGAAUGAGCAAAUAAAAUAGUCUCAUCAUUACACACUUCUUACUAAUUUUCAGAAAGACUGAGGGAGGAAUAAUGAGUACAGUUCAGCUAUUGGAUCCUUUGAUACAGAAUUUGGAUAAGAAAUACCCUGUUUCUAUAUUGGCCUCUCUUUUAAAUUCUAAGAAGUGUAGGAAACAAAUGAUUGCUGCUGGUGUUAGUGUGCACUUGAAGAAACUUAUGGAGAUGGAUGUUGAAGGAUCUUAGAAGCUCUUGGAUGGUCUGGGGCGGGGUAAGAUUUGGGGUGUUUUUGCCAGGCCCUAGCAUGGACUUAAUUCUUCCAUGUGCUUGGAACUUGAAUCUGAGGAUGGCUUGUUAAUCUGCAUGUACAUUGUUUGUGUUUGCUUUUACUCUUGUUUUGUGUUUGCUUUUUUUUUUUUUUCCAUAUGUUUGUUAAGUUGCUUUAGGACUAAACAAUUUUAGCUUAGUUUCCGCUGGAAAACCUCUUCUUUUUAGAGAUGAGAUCAUGGUUUGUUGACCUAAAUACACUGGAUUUCAUGUUCUUUAUGCGAAACUGAAUAAUAGUAGUGUUUGUAAUGUGUUUGAGAUCACACUUAUGAUAUACAGUACUUAUUGAAAAUGUUGUUUUCUCAUGACAGCUAAAUGCAAAUAAUAACCAAGGCAGGGUUAAUUGUUGAAGUUUUUAAUCUUGUGUUUGAUUGUGUUUAUUUGAUGAUUUGUAGGUUGAUUGUUGAUUUGGGUAGUAGGAGAAAAAGGUUUGCACAGAAGGUUGAAGAAUGGAGAGAGUUGCAGAAAAAGGUAAUUCUUGUAUAUAUUUUCCACACACAACAUGCUUGACAAAAUGCCCCUUAUAAACUGAUUUGGGGAGAACACACGUAUUGUGUGAUCUUUUACAGCCUUUAACAGCUAGGCCUACAGAAAAGUAUUUAAUUAUUUUUUUCUUUUCUUAGUUAGUUACAAAUAACUGAAAUGCAACUAACUAAUCAUUACAUAACAACUUUCUUCAGCUUCUUCUUUUUCCUCCUUCUUUACUGUCAACUUUUCCCUUCAAUCUUCUGCAUUUGCUUAUUUGUAAAUCCAGCUCAACAACUUAAUUACCAACAGCCUCUCCUAAGUUGCUGACUGGUUUAACCCCAAGAGUCAGUCUUAGAUAGUUGAAUCUGUCUUUAGGUAGAGCCUUGGUGAAUAUAUCAGCCAACUGGUCCUCACCCCUACAGAAUUGCAUGUUGAUCAACCCUUCUUUCAAAGAUUCCCUGAUAAAGUGAUAUCUCCUGUUUAUGUGUCUUGUUUUCUGAUGGAAAACAGGAUUUUUGGCCAUCGAUAUUGCUGACAUGUUGUCACAAUACAAUGGAGUUGCCUCAGCCUGCAUCUCUCCAAAAUCUUCAAGCACAAACCUAAGCCAAAUGGCUUGUGUCGUGGCUUCAGAAGCUGAGACAUACUCAGCUUCUGCUGUUGACAGAGCCACUGUGCUCUGUUUUACAGAAGCCCAAGAGAACACACCACUUCCAAAGCUAAAAGCAUAGCCUGAGGUACUCCUGCUAUCAUCCUCACUGCCCCCCCAAUCAGCAUCACAAUAACCGAUUAGAGUAGCUGAUUUGCCUCUUGUGUACUCAAUCCCAUAGUCUAGGGUACCUUGAACAUAUCUCAAUACCCUUCUAGCAAUCCCUAUAUGUUUCUUUGUAGGGCAACUCAUGAAUCUUGAUAGUAAGCUUGCUGAAUACAUUAGGUCUGGCCUUGUUGCUGUCAAAUACAGCAAGCUUCCCACUAUCCUUCUAUAUAACCCUUCAUCUGCAGGUUCACUGCCAUCCUCCUUCUUUAAUUUUUCACCCACGGUUAGAGGAAUUGCAACUGGAUUGCAGUCCUCAAGUCCGAACUUAGUAAGUAGAGACUUAGCAUACUUACUUUGGUGAAUAAAAACUCCUUGAUUGGUCUGCAAUACACCAAUCCCUAGAAAGUGAUGAAGAAGCCCUAGGUCUGACAUUUCAUACCUCUGCAUCAUCUCCCUCUUAAACUCAGUCAUCAUCCUUUCACUACUUCCAGUAUACACUAUAUCAUCAACAUAUAUUGAGAUAAUGAUCUGGCCUCCUUCACUAUCACUUCUGGUGUACAAAGUUGCUUCACUUGCACUCCUUUCAAAUUUGCAACUUGUAAGAUAAGCAUCGAUUUCACUAUACCAGGCUCUAGGGGCUUGUUUAAGUCCAUAUAGAGCCUUGUAUAGUUUAUACACCUUGUGGCUGGACCCCUUCACUUCAAACCCCUCGGGUUGCUCCACAUACACCUCCUCGUCAAGCAUUCCAUUUAGAAAUGCUGACUUAACAUCUAGUUGGAAUAAUUUCCAACCCUUUUGAGCUGCCAACGCAAUGAGAGUCCUUAUAGUAUCCAACCUUGCUACUGGAGCAAAAGUCUCAUUGUAAUCCACCCCUGGUUUUUGAGCAUAUCCCUUGGCUACAAGUCUAGCCUUAUGCUUGUGUAUGGACCCAUCAAGAUUGAGCUUUGUCUUGAAGACCCAUUUCACACCUAUCACAGGCGCAUCAGAAGGUCUGUCAAUCAGCUCCCAGGUAUGAUUCUUUUCUAUCAUCUCUAAUUCAGUUCUCAUUGCAUCCUGCCAGUCUUUACUCUUUGCUGCUUCCUGAUAAUUUUCUGGUUCAAUGAAGCUCAUGUGACAUCUAUUAUAAAUGUCUUCAAUGCUCCUUAACUUCACUGGAGUUGAACUAGGUGAUGAUCCUUGACUGAUAUUCUCAACUGAUUCUGUCACUGAACCAUUUGCAGGUGAGCUUAACUGAUCAAUGCCAUCAUAAUUCUGUGCAACAUCUACAUUUGUUUCUUCUACUUCACUCUCUUCUUUGUUGCAUUCAAACCUUAGUUGCUGUGUGACUGAUUCCAUGUGAUUUUCAGUCCAAUUCCAGAACCUGCUCUCAUCAAAAACAACACUUCUUGACAGCACUAUCUUCUUUGAAUCCAGAAUAUACACCCGAUAUCCUUUCUCACAACUUCCAUAACCCAUAAACACUCCCUUCUCUGCCUUACUGUCCAGUUUCUGUCUUAGUGCUGCUGGAAUGAGUGUGUAACAUACACACCCAAACACCCUUAAGUGUUUAAUUCCAGGCUUCCUUCCCGUGAAGGCUUCAAAUGGUGUCUUACCCUCCACAGCUGAUGUAACACACCUAUUUUGAAGAUACACAGCAGUAUUCACUGCCUCUCCCCAGAAUUCAGUGGGUAUUCCUUUCUCAAUCAACAUUGAUCUUGCCAUUUCUCCUAUGGUCCUAUUUCUCCUCUCAGCCACUCCAUUCUGCUGAGGAGAAUAGGCUACUGUGAGCUGCCUCUCCACACCCAGACUUGCACAAUAAUUCUGAAAUUCAUAGGAGGUAUAUUCUCCUCCUCUAUCACUUCUCAAUUUUUUUAGAGAGUAGCCACUUUGUGUCUCAACAAGUAUUUUAAAUUUCUUGAAAACACUUAAUGUGUCAGAUUUAUUUCGGAGGAAAUAUACCCAACACAUUCUAGAGUAGUCAUCAAUAAAGGUAAGAAAGUACCUAUUCCCACCAAUUGAUUCUGCCUGCAUUGGUCCACAGAGGUCAGUAUGCACAAGUUCCAGUGGAUGUUUGGCUCUCCAUGCUUCCCCUUGAUUAAAUUUCUCUCGGUGAUGCUUCCCUUUUACACAGCCUUCACACACAUUCCUUGAAUCUGCUAUCACAGGUAAGCCAUACACAAUCUCUUCCUGUUUCAUCUUCUUCAUACUUGCAAAAUUUAAAUGGCCAAGCCUUCUAUGCCAUGUCCAAAAAUCUUCAUUAACUGAUGCUUUCAUAGCUGCAGGAGUUAAAGAUUCCAGUGCAAGGGGAAAACAUCUAUUCCCCUUCAUUAUUACUUUUGCAAGCACAUUCUCUAGUUUCUCAUCAUCAAAUAUUACUGCCUUGUUGCCCCCAAACAAGAUGUAGUAACCAUGUUCCAUCAUUUGACCUACACUAAGUAGAUUCUCAUCCAAACCUGGGACUAGCAGCACCUCAUUUAUGUAUCUUCUGCCCUUUUUGGUUUCAACAACUAAUGUUCCUUUUCCAGUGGAUUGAACCAAAUCUCCUGAACCCAUUUUCACCUUGCAAGUGAUACUUCUAUCAACAUCAAUUAAAUUCUCCUCUUGAGAGGUCAUAUGAUUACUACAUGCACUAUCAAUGAACCACACAUCUUCAUUCUUUAUGCUGGCAGCAUGACAUGCAUAAAAUAUAGUGCUUGUGCACACAUCUUCCUCCUUUGCACUAUUAGCUAGCUGCUUGUUGCUGUCACAGUCUUUGGAAUAAUGUCCAAACCGACUGCAUUUCCCACACUUAGGCUUCCCCUUAUAUCUACAUAUUCCGAAAUGAAAUUUUUGACAUACAGAACAUUGAGGCUUUGUGUUUGUUUGAUUACCUCCACCUCUGUGCUGUGAACUGCUGCUGCUACUUCCAGUUCUGUUAUUCCAGUUUGUGUUGUGACUGAAAUUUUGAUGAUUAUUCACAUUUCUUCCUUGAGACCAGCCCACAUGCCUUUGAUCAUGUCCUUGCCAUCUUGGACUAGAUCUCCCCUGCAUAGCCUUGUUUGCAGCAUGAUUAUAGCCCAUUUUGAGACUACUAAAUGCCUUUUCAGUCCUUGUAAUCUUAUCUUGUUCAUCAUGCAGGUCUUCCCUCUUGUCAAAUACUUUGACAGAGGCUAUAACUUCUUCCACCUUCAGCACAUCAAGGUCCCUUGUCUCUUCAAUGAUAGAGACAAUGGACUUGUAUCUCCUAUUUAAAUUCAUUAGGAGCUUCUGCACAAUCCUAAUCUCAGGUACAUCUUCUCCUAGAGAUUUCAGACUGUUUAUAGCUUCAAAAAACUUAGAAAGAUAGUGUUCUAAGCCUUCUCCUUCUGACAUUCUCAUGUAUUCAAACUCUGCCCUCACAGCUUGCAAUUUCACAUACCUCACUUUCUUAUCACCUCUAUACUCUCUUUUCAGCACAUUCCAUGCUCCUUGUGCAGUAUUCUCAUUCCUUAUUCUAGGAAAAAGUUCAUCAGUCAAGGCUCCUUGUAUGAGGCUCAAUGCCUUGGCAUUUCUUAUUUUUUUUUCUCUGAAAACAGCUUCUUCAACUAUGCUGCUCUUAGUUUCACCAUCUUUGCUCUCGGUUUCAUCAUUCUUCUUAUCUUCUUUCUCAGAUUCUUCUUCUUUCACACUUGAACCUGAUUUCAUGCCAAACUCAACUACAUCCCAUAGAUCAAAUGCUAUGAGGAUUGUCUCCAUCUUCACUGCCCAAAAGUCAUAGUUCACACCGUUGAACUGAGGUGUUCGUAAAUCUCCACUGGACACCAUCUUUUCUGGAAUUUUGUGUUUUCAGUCCCUUGUUGAUCAAGUUACUGCUCUGAUACCAUGUUGAAGUUUUUAAUCUUGUGUUUGAUUGUGUUUAUUUGAUGAUUUGUAGGUUGAUUGUUGAUUUGGGUAGUAGGAGAAAAAGGUUUGCACAGAAGGUUGAAGAAUGGAGAGAGUUGCAGAAAAAGGUAAUUCUUGUAUAUAUUUUCCACACACAACAUGCUUGACAAAAUGCCCCUUAUAAACUGAUUUGGGGAGAACACACGUAUUGUGUGAUCUUUUACAGCCUUUAACAGCUAGGCCUACAGAAAAGUAUUUAAUUAUUUUUUUCUUUUCUUAGUUAAAAUAACUGAAAUGCAACUAACUAAUCAUUACAUAACAACUUUCUUCAGCUUCUUCUUUUUCCUCCUUCUUUACUGUCAACUUUUCCUUUCAAUCUUCUGCAUUUGCUUAUUUGUAAAUCCAGCUCAGCAACUUAAUUACCAACAUUAAUUGUAUUGAUUGUGCAAAGGCAGUACCUUUCAGUCUCUCUCUGAGUUGUCUGAUAGGUGAAAUGGUUAUUUUAUUAUCUUAAUAGAAAAUUGGAUAUUUCACUAAAUUCAGAUCCUGGUGAGAAGGGACUGCAUUUUCCAUAUAAUAUCCUGGUGAGUGCCUGCGGUUUUCUUAACUGAAGAUUGUUAUCGAGUUCCUUGUUUUAUAAGGAGUUUAGAAGAGAUGCUAUUUGACAUUCAUUUCUACUCCUUCAGGCAGGUUAAUUUUGCUAGUGUUUGUUGGGUCCCAUAUUCUUAAAACUUCUGCAGUUAUGGUCAAGCAUAAAAAUGUUGCCAGAACAAAUCUUGAAGUUUUUGACAUAGAAAAUUAUAUUAUGAACAUUAAUCCAUGUAUUCUCAAUUUUGACUUUUACCUCCUUGUAUUUUAAUAAUAUACAUGAAUACAGUAAAUGCAAUAUAUGUUACUGAAUGUUUAGAGUAAUUUUAAACUUAUCUUUAUUGCAAGCAGCAUAAAGCACUAAAAAAUCUUAGAGGAAGACCAUCAACUAUAAAACUCAAAAUGAAGUACCUGCUUGUCUAUCUGCACCGACAAUAGGAGGAUUAUAUUAGGGAAGCCGAAACGAGCCUCUAAGCAGGAACAAAUAUUCUUACUUCUUUGGAUAUGUACUGCCUGUAAGCCUGUAAGCAGGAACUACCAGUUUAUUAGAAAUGGCUUCGAAGUUCAAUGAAAAUGAUAUAUGUAAUCUGAAUCAUAAUACAAACUUGAAUAAAAUAGCAAAUAAAUAACAUUGAAAGCCUAAACUUGUCAAGUAAUAUGAGAAAAUAAUAUGAAAUCAUCCAUACAUAUAAUAAAGAUAAUUCAUUACAUAUACUACAAAAUAUAAUUAACUAGUGCUACUCAUUAUUAUCAUCACUCCUAACCAUGUCAUCAUCAUCACACAAAACCAUGUCGUCGUCACCACCACCACCACCACCACCACCAUCAUCUUCUUCUUCUUCUUCUUCCGCAACCCUCUCAUCUUCUUUUCCCCAAUUUACGUCAAGCUGAAGCAAUUCAUGUUGACUAAUUUCUUCAUAAUAAGAUGAUUCAACAAGUAUAUUUGGAUCAUCAAGUGUUUGAGUAGGAAGGACACAAUAUGGUUGUGAAAUCUCAUCCGAUUGAUCAACGUCAAAUGUUCUCACAUUGUUUUCAUCUUCAAUAAAUUCACCCAUGUCAAUAUUAUAACGACUUCUAGCAGUUGUUUUAAUAACCGUCCACCAUUUAGAGGAUUUAUUAUCAGGUGGAUAUGUAUAGUAGACUUGUUGACAUUGUUGUGCUAACACAAAAUCUUCAUUUCCAUAUAGUCGAGAUGUAUGCUUGAUUUCAACCAAACCAUUCGAACGAUGCACUCUAAUCCCUCGUUUUGUAUCAUACCAAUUACAUUUAAACAAAAAUAACUUGCACUUGCUCCCCAAAUAUUUUAGCCGAACAACUUCUUUAAGCAUUCCAUAAUAAUCACGUUCAUUAUCAUCAUAACAACUUCCUUUCACACAAACUCCACUAUUCAUUGUCUUUUUAAAACGACCAUAACUUUGAGUAUGAAAUUUAAAACCAUUCACAUAAUACUCAUUAUAACAUUUCACUGAAGUUGAAGGGCCCAUAGCAAGUCCAAAGAGUUGAUUUUCAAUUCCGUUAGAUUGGUAUUCCACCUAGCAUAAUAAUUAACUCCAUAAGAAAUAUUGUUUUAAAAGAGAUUAAUAAUUUUUUUAAAGUAACUAAUUGACAUAAAUAUAAAUUAAUUUUAUGAAAAUACUUACAUUAUUUUUUAACCAAGAUGGAAAGAUCUCUUCGCAUAAUUUUUCAAUUUCAACAUCACUCGCAUGUGGUUGUUGUGACUUUAACUCUUGACGACAUUGCCUAAAAUUUUAAAAUGUUAAAGUUAAUAAUAAAUUAUCAUAAAUUAAGUACAAAAUAAUAUUUCAUACUUACUCUAAAUAAGGCUUCAAUUCUUGACAAUUGAAUAUCACAUAGCUAUGCGCAAUUUGCAUUUCAGCAUGUGACAACUGUCUUCUAUAAAAUCUUUUGGAUAAUUUUUUCCCUGGAUAGGAAAAAAUAGAGAGAUAUCCAUCUUGACUUUUAAGGCCACCAUCAUCAUUUCGUGGAACUCGAUUCCAAAUUGUUUGCAUGUCAUCACCAAAAUAAUGAGAUGCAAAAUUGGUAAUUUCAUCAAUCAAGUAUGCUUCACAUAUGGAACCCUCAACUUUAGCUUUAUUGGUCACUUUCUUCUUCAAAUAAAACAUAUACCUAUAUCAUUUUUGUCAGUUAGUUUAUUUUUUAAAAUAAAAAGGGAAUAAAAUUAACAUAGUAUCAAAACAUACCAUUCAAAUGGAUACAUCCAUUGAUAUUGAACAGGUCCACCAACUUUUUCCUCAUAAGGUAGAUGUAUCGUCAAGUGUUCCAUGUGUUGGACAUUUAAAUUUGUAGUACAGAUAUCUCGAAAAAAUACGGACAGUUCAGUUAAUGCCUCCCACAGUGGCCUAGGUAAGUAAGGUCGGAAAACAGUUGGAAGAAGUCUUUGAAUGAAGACAUGACAAUCAUGACUCUUCAUCCCCGAAACCUUACAUCGUGCCUCUUUCACACAUCGUGAAAUGUUUGAAGCAUAACCAUCAGGAAAUGAUAAUUCCUUCAUCCAUGACAAAACUUCUUGUUGUUGUUUCUUGUGUAGAUAAUAAGUGCCUUUAGGUUUGUAAACCCGACCACUCGUAUCUUGUUGCAAAUGUAAAUUUGGCUUCUUACAAUACAACUGAAUAUCCAACCUAGCUAGCCUUUAAAUUAUCCUUGCUUCUAUUAGGACAAUCCAUUACUGUAUAAAAAAUAUUGUCAAAGAAGUUUUUCUCAAUAUGCAUGACAUCAAGAUUAUGACGAAUCAAAUUUGUAUGCCAAUAUGGAAGCUCCCAGAAAAUGCUCUUCUUCACCCAAUUGUGUUCAACACCGAAGCCAGGAAUUUUAGCAUUAUGUGAGGAACUUCCAUUAUGUCCCUCAAUAAACUUGGACACUUUGUUUAACAUUUCCAAACCAGAUGCACGAGGUAAAGGAGGGAGCCUUUCAAUUACUCCUUUCAAAAACUUAUCUGAUUGACAUCUAUAUGGGUGGUUCAUAGGUAGGAAUCGUCGAUGACAAUAAAAAAAGGUAGUUUUUCCUCAAUUUGUUAAUCUAAAGGCUUUGCUAUGCUCCAUACAAUAAGGACAAGACAGAUUUCCAUGAGUACUCCAACCCAAUAACAUGCCAUAUGCUGGAAAGUCACUAAUGGUCCACAUCAAAACUGCCCAUAGUUGAAAAGUUUCCUUUCUAUAUACAUCAUAUGUUUCAACACCAACAAACCAUAAAUUAUUUAACUCAUCAAUCAAAGGUCUUAGAAAAACAUCAAGCUUUUUCCCUGGAUUCUUUAGCCCAGGAAUUAUCAUUGACAAAAACAUGAAUGGUCUAGUCAUGCACUUCCACGGAGGCAAAUUAUAAACAGUCACAAUUACUUGCCAACAAGAGUAUGUAUUUGAAGACAUGUCAAAUGGACAAAACCCAUCAGUGCAUAACCCUAACCGAAUAUUUCUUGGAUCUGACGCAAAGCUUAAGUGGACACGAUUAAACUCCUUCCAUAACCUCAUUAUCUGACUUGUGAAAAUGAUGCCAUGUCAUAUGUUUGGCAUGAUAUGGAGACAUGAAUAGUCUCUGAAGCCUUGGUGUCAAGGGAAAGUAUCGGAGUUGCUUCUCCGCCUUAUUGGAACCUUUACUAGUCGGAUUUAUAGGUUUGUAUCGUGACCUUCCACAAAAAUUACAAUUUAUUUUCAUUGCAUCUGCCCCAUAGUACAACAUGCAAUAAUUAGGACACACAUCAUAUUUCUCAUAACCAAGUCCAAGUGGCCGCAUAAAUUUCUUGGCAUCAUAAAAAUUGGAUACCAAAUUUUCAUCAUUAGGCAUGCAACUUUUUGUAAAAUCAAUAAAUUUGUUAAAGGCUGUCUGAGUCAAAUUUAAAGUUGACUUCAUAUUAAGCAAUUGUACACAAGCAGAUAAUUUGGAUUGCUUGGUACACCCAUCCCACAAAGGCUCCUCCGCAACUUUCAAAAGUUUUAAAAAAUUAGUUGCCUCCGGAUUUGAAAGUUCCUCUGCUACCACAGGACUAGACACAUGUGCAUCACCAACCCCCAUUGCAUCCAUAACCAGAUUCCUAUAUGGAUUUUCUAGACAAACAUCAUUCACAACAUGACUAAUUCCAACCGAUGAAGGUCCAACCAAUAUUGGUUCUGCGACAUAAGGCUCCCCAUGUACAGUCCAAUUUUCAUAACAAGGUAAAAAACCUUUUGUCAAUAGGUGCUUACAAACAUCAUCUUCCUUUAAAAACUUUUGAUUUUUGCACCUCACACAAGGACAUCUAAUUUUUCCCCCAGAUAUAUUUUUAUCAAUUGAAAACGCAUUAAUCUAAUUAACAUGAUAACACCAAUAAGCAUUUUAGAAAUAAGCAUACUUCCUUAACAACUAGUACUUAAACAAUCAGUUAAAAUGAAAUAUGUAACACAUAAACAAACUUUAAUAUUUAAAUUUGAUUUACCACAUUAAUCUAUCUUGAAAUUAAUAUUAAAAAUAAUAUACUAACAAUAUUCAUAGUAACACAAACUUUAUUUCUUUUCAUGUGUUUCCUUCUUUUAUUCGAGAAACCCUUGGCAAUACUAUAUCUUUGUAUGCUUAGCAUCAAUUUUCAUCGAGAUAUCUUUAUUUCUUAUAAAAUAUAUUACUAUUUUUUUCCUUUUCUUUUUUCUUUCUUUCAUUUUUUUUGGUUUUUUAUUGAUCUCUCUCUCUCUCUCUCUCUCUCUCUCUCUCUCUCUCUCUCUCUCUCUCUCUCUCUCUCUCUCUCUCUCUCUUUGGGGUUUUGCUAAGCCAAUUAUACAUGGAAAAUAGAGUUUUUUUUUUUUUAAUAAUGUGGAUUAUAAUUGAUUGAAUGACUAUAAAUUCAAAAUAAUUUUUAUAACAAAAAAUAUUUCUAAAUUAAAAGAAAAAUAGUUUCAACAUUUGAUUUCAAUAGCAUUCUUCCUUUUUGGGUUCCAUACUUGUUCAUUAUGUGUAACUUUCAAGUUUUGUGGCUAUGAGUGUCAAUGCUGCUGCUAUAGAGUCAUUUAAACGUGAUGAUCAAUACCAAAAUAUGAUGGGGAUGGUGCUACACUAGUUAUAGAUCCUGUCACUGCUACAAAAUAUGGUAUUGAAGUUUCACAAGAUUCUCUCGCUACUUGCUGGGAAUGCAGCCAAAAGAUUAUUAUUGGAGAUGUGGUUUCUUAUGUAUCUAUCUUUAUUCUCUAGAGAUCAUUUUUAAACAUCAUAUUUCUUUAUGUGUGGCGAACCAGAUUCAUAAAGUCAUGCAUUAUACACAUAAAUCAAACAUUUUUCAUCUGGACUGAGAACAAUAAUAUGCUAACAGUCUUGGCAACCUAUAUAUACUAGUUGAAGGACUUAAUCCUAAUUCAUAUAGGAAAAGGACUUGUUGAAGUCGCAUGCUAACUGUAAAUCCAAAUAGCAUAAGGAUUCUUAAACUAAAAAGAAGCAAAGGCAGUAGGGAAACUAAAAGGAACAAUUUCUGAUACAUGAACUGUAAACAUUUUUUUUUUGUUGAGACUUGUGAAUUUUACUUAAUAUGGGUUGAUUCUGCAGGAAGAACACAAGGGAAAAAAAAAAGGCAUUGAGUGAUUAUGUUAUUGACAAGAUCGAUAAGGGUAGUUGCUCUACCAAUUUAGGUUUGAUCGAAACAUUAUAACUGCCACAGAAGAUUAUCUUGCUCAAUUUACUCAUGCCUUUUCGUGUUUGCUUAACUACAGAUAUUGCAGACAUGGCAGAUAAGGGUUGCAAUAAUGGUGGACUGGAUUACAAACUUUUUCUGCUGAGUAAGGCAUGGUAAAACUGCUUUCACUUGCGGGUUUUUUUUUUGUCUGUCUCCCAUAUGUUCUUUAUUAUGGAUGGUUAGAUUUUAAUGUUUUGGUUGAUGUGGGGGGAUUCUGCUUUUGUAUUACUACUAAUCAGGGGGUAAAUGAAAUUAAGUGUACCAUUAAUUUGCUUUUAUUUAGAUUUGUUGCAAUGAUAUCAAUGCUUGUCCCUAUGGUUCAUCUAAUUUAAUCUUUAGCAUGGCAAAGCAAAUUGACAGUUGAAGUUUCCUUGUGUGCCUAGUUACUCCCAUUCACUUCUGCUUUAUAAUAUUCUUACACUGGCUUGUAUUUUUUAAGAGUGUGUUUUGCAUUCUUUUGCUUUUAUUGUAGAUCUUUUGUAAGUUGAGAGUUGUUUAUACUACUUUUCUUUUCCAUUGUUUUGAAAUGUAUAAUUUUCUGAACUCAACAUUUUGGUCUUUCUACCCUAUGAAGCUUUCAAUAAUUAUUUUAAACCAUAAUUUGAGCUAUAACAUUGGUUCUACAAGUUUGAAUCUAUCUGGAUUUUUCAAUAGUUAAGCAUGUAGUUUAACUUGAAACUCUCUUCAUCCUAUCUUCUUUUUAGCUAAAGCAUGGACCAACUAUGAUGAUUAUGACAUUGCUGGCUCUGCUGUUGUUACACAACUUUUCCUUUAUGUUAUGAUAUUCAAUCUCAUGAUAGUCAUUUAAUUUUGUUCCUGUCUUUUGAUAUUCAAAUCUCCCUAACAAAGUUAAUCAUCUUUACAAGAUCAAUAUGUUUGGUCAAUAAUAACUCUGUCUAGAGCAACAUGUUAACUGUUUCACCAUUCAUGCUAUUCUUAUUGAAGUCUUGGUUGGUAUUUGCCAGGCCAAGUGUAAAGGAUCAAUUUAAUUAAAGAGAUGGAUGGUCAAAUAAUUAUGGUUUUGAUAAUGUUGAAAAUGUACCACACAACUCAAAUGAGAACAAGGAAAAGAAAUCCACAAUUUAUAAUGCCUAGGUAACAGAAUUAAAAUCCUAAAACAUAAAAGAAAAAUAACAUAAAAUAGAUUUGCACUGACUACAGUUCAUAAACCCUUAUUUUAUCGACUGAAUAGCCUAAAACCAUUAAUCAAAGUAGCGAUCAAAUUUUUUUUGUUACCUGUGUUCUUGAGUUCUGGGCGAGCAAGAUGAAAUCUACAUGACAAAAGAACACUUGAGAUUGUGAAAGUUAGGUAAAAACUUUUAAGUGUAAGUUUAAUUGCAACAAAUAAACAAAUAAUUCCUAAAAUUAAUUACCUAAAUUAUUGAAGAACAGAAUGCAAAACCCAACCCAUAUACAAAGAGUGGGGGUAAAUCAGGAUGUUCGAUGGUGAUAAUGAUGGGUAUAGUGGGAUGUUGCCAUGGGUUUGUGUUUUUGGUGGUUUACGAAGAAAGAUUGAAUCUGUUAGGGAUGUUGGAGACGAAUGAGAAGAAGAUAAAGAGAAAUGUUAGAGACAAAGGAAGAUUAGAUCGAUGAAGAGAGAGUGCUAAGUUAAUUGUUUUUCUACUGUUAUGGAUGUUAUUAUCAGGGGACGAAGGGGAUGAAGAGAUUCACUGCAAGUUAAUUAGCAUUUUCUGGGUUCUUUGUUUAUUUGCUCUGUUUACGUUUCUGAAGGGGAGAGAGUGUAAGUUUAGGAUUGCUAAUUAACGGUUGAGAUUGUAAAAGUAAAAUACCUCAUCAACGGUCUGUGUAAUUUUAGCUUUAUAUUAAAAUUUAAAUAUUUAUUUUUUUAAUCAGAAACGGAUAGUCCGUUGCAGAUUUUAUGUUGUCUUUAGCAACGGGUUUUCCGUUGCUAAAACCUGUUGCUAAUAUUAAAAAAAUAAUAAAUAUGCAAUUUGUUGCUCAAUUUAGCAACGAAAUUAUCCGUUGCUAAAAUCAGAUGCUAAUAGUCCCCUUUUUUAGUAGUGUUAAACCGGUAGAAGUUGAGGGAUGCUCAAAUGGCAAGGGGGUCUUCCCCUCAAUUAAGUUCCGUGGAGAGAUUGCCUUUAUGUGAAUUACUAUGAUUGUUAAUAAGAGCUACCAUUUCUUUGUAUUUAUACUUUUAGGGUUGUGUACAAUACAAGGGUGAAAUAUACUAAGCAUGAUAACUAUUUCUAUUUAAGGUAUUUACAUAUAUAUAAGUCUCUUUCCUUAAUAAACUCCGUCAAACUGAAGGUGGAGAUUCCACCCGAAACUUGGAACGAAAAUAAGCAAACGAGACUGGAGGGAGAGGCUUGGCAAGGACAUCAACUAGUUGGUCCUUGGAAGAAAUGAAUUGUACCUGAAUUUCUUACUUAGCAAUGUGAUCAUGAACAAAGUGAUAAUCAACUUCAACAUGUUUAGUAUAGGCGAGAAACACUAGAUUGGCAGAAAAGAAAGUGGCUCCUAAAUUAUCACACCAUAACGUAGUCAUGGACGAAGAUGAAAGCCGAAGUUCUAACAAUAAAGAGCAAAUCCACAAGAUUUCAGCAGUAUCGUCAGCUAAGGCUUUGUAUUCUACUUAUGUAGAAGACUUGGCAACAGUGCUUUGUUUCUCGGAUUUCUAUGAAAUAUGGGUAAAACCAAGAUACACAAGAUAACCAUCUAUUGAUUUUCGAUCAUCAAUACUGCCAGUCCAAUCAGCAUUUGUGAAACCAUGAAGGGACAAGGAGGAAUCUUGAGUAAUGUGUAGACCAUAAGAGGCUGUAGCCUAGAGGUAACGCAGGAUAUGUUUAACGAUAGCUAAAUGAUCCUCAGUAGGAGCAUGCAUAAACUGACAUACGUUAUUGACUGCAUAACAAAUAUCAGGUCUAGUGAAAGUAAGAUAUUGUAUAGCCUUAAUAAUCUGUCUAUAGCGUGUCGGAUCAGAGUGAAGAGUACCAGACAUAAUUCUUAAUUUGAACGAGGUAGACGAAUGAGCAUUAACCGGUUUGCAAGAAGCCAUACCUACUCGUUGGAUGAUAUCUAGUGCAUACUUGGGUUGACUGAGUAAGAGACCCAUAGCAGUAGAUUUAACUUCAAUGCCCAAGAAGAAAUGAACAAAACCUAAGUCUCAAACCUUAAAUUCUAAUUGCAGCAAAGUAAUAAAUCGGUGAAGCAAGGUUGAGUUACUCCCGGUCAAUAGAAUAUCAUCAACAUACACAAGCAAAUAAAUCAUAGCACCACCGAAAGAAAGAAUAAAAAGAGAAGUAUUAACCUUGGAUGCCUGAAAUCCAAUGGAAAUUAGAAACUCUCUUCACCAGUUGUACCAUGUUCGAGGUGCUUGUUCCAAGCCAUACAAGGAUUUAUGAAGACGACACACAUGAGACGGAAGUGUAGGGUCAAUAAAACCAUGUGGUUCUGCUAUGUACACCUCUUCUUGAAUAAUGCCAUUCAAGAAAGCAUUAUGGACAUCCAACUGAUGAAUUUUCCAAUCAUAAGAGACAAUAAUAGUGAGCACAGGCCGAAUCAUUGUGGGCUGAACCACCAGACUAAAUGUCUCUAAAUAAUCAAUCCCCUCUUACUCAGUGAAACCUCGGGUAACCAACCGUGCUUUAUAUCGGUCAACCUAACCAUCAGUAUGUCAUUUAAUCUUAUAAACUUACCUACUGCCAAUCACAUUCAUAGACGAAUGAGAGGGCAUCAACAACCCAGUCUAAUUAUAGUGAAGGGCUCGAAUUUCCUCCUACAUGGCAUUAUGCCAAAUCAAGUACCUAUUGGCAUCCUUAAAUGAAAGUGGCUCAUGUUGAGGUAAAGACACAACUCGGGAGUCAGACGCAACACUCAAGUUGAUGUUUUUAGAUGGACGUGGGCGAAGCACCAUGGAAUGAGUGUGGGCAACCUAAGAUGGAGUUGAAAAAACACUGGCUAGGACUUGCUGAAGAUUGAAUUUAUACAAAUCAAUAUAUAAGUUAAGUCCAGGGGGGAAAUAAAUGAAGAACCUGGUGGUAAUUGAAAUUCUGGCUGGGAGUGAAAUCUCCAGGUUCUGAUAACAAUCCUAGGAGUUUGAAGCCUUUUCCGCUUUCAGAAAUACCACAAAACUUGGUAAGGACAACGUUCGAACUUUCUCGUGAAGACAUACAGAAGCUUCGGAAUAUGAUAAACUCUCAACUUGAUAAGCUUGGAUCUAAAGAGGAAGCAAAUCAAACAAAGCCAAUAUAUUUGUCGACUUACGUGCUUGUAUAUGCAUAUACAAUGGUUUGCAUGCUUGAAGCAAAAGGCGUAAAUAGCAAUGAUAAGAUUAAGAUUGUGAUUCCGGUAGACUGUAGAGCCCGUUUAAACCCUCCAUUACCUAAGAAUUAUAUUGGUAAUUGUGUUAGCUCCUUUGAUGUGGUUGUGGAAAGAGAAGAUCUCAUGAAAGAGAAUGGUGUUGCGUAUGUUGCGAAGAGGCUUACUGAGAUGAUAAAAGGAUUAGAGAAUAGAUCAGUUAUCGAGGGAGCAAAGGAGAGGAUACCAUACACUGAUUGGGAGAAAUUUACUCAAACGGUUCGAGCUGUUGGGACAAACCGAUUUGGGAUGUAUGGGGCAGAUUUUGGAUGGGGGAAGCCAAGCAAUGUGGAGGUUACGACAAUAGCUAGAACUGGUGCCUUUUCUAUUAUGGAGAGCAAAGAUGAAGGUGGUGGAGUUCAAGUUGGUUUAGUGUUGAAGGAGCAUGAGAUGAAACUAUUCGGUUCUCUAUUUACCAGAGUUAAGAUUUCUCAGUCUACAUGUUAGACAGUUGUAAGUGGUUUCUUACCACUUAGUCAAUAAAUCCCUAUUGCUAAGGGAUAUUGUUUCAUUGAAUUAGUCGUACCAUGUUACUCUUUGGUUUCAGUUUAGGCUAUAUAAUAGCCAAGUUUGUUCAAUAGAACAAGAGAUUUCUCCCAGCUGCAUUAUUUAUCUUCUUCAUAAGUUUUUCUGUUCUUAAUAACCAGUGGCCUUAAAAUGUGAACUGUAAUCGUGUAUACCUCUCUAAGACAUGCUUAUACUCUCUUUUUUUCUUCCUCUAAUAUUUAUGCUGUGCUUCAAUUUCUAAGACUUUUGGAGUUAUUAAUGUAAUUUUAUUUGCUGCUUGUUGUGGAAAUCUGAUUAUCUAUUACGUACUAAGAUAAGGUGUUGAAUAUUACAACAUGGCAGGGCAGAAGAUUCACUACAACAUUAACAGUAAAACGGACGGUUAUUUUCCGUCAGUGUAAGAUUACCAUUCUGUCGGUAAAAGUUUCACUACCAGAAAAUCGACGAAAACUAACAGAAUAUUUUCAUCAGUAAAAAUUACCGACGGAAAUAAUUCUGUCUCUACUUCUAUCGGUGUAUAUCGACAGACAAUUUACGUCGGGGAUACCGUCGGUAUAUACCGACCGUAUCGCCGACAUAUUCUAUAGUUUUUUUGAAACGUUGCAAUGGUAUGAUGACGUGGAAUUUUUUCAGACGAUUUUACCGACGGAAUGACCGAGGGAUUCAAAUCGGGAUCGCCGUACAGUGACGUGGCACAGUCACCGACGGACUCACCGACGGGUAUACCGACGGAAACGUUUCGUCGGUGAUUCCAUCGGUAAAAGCCAAUAUAUACCCACUCUGCCAACACUCUAGUCCUCUAUUUCUCCUUCUUCUUCCCCCCCUUUUUCUUCCCCAUCCCAACUCUCCUCUCCCAAACUGCAUCCAACCAUCCAUCCCAACUCUCCCUCUCUUCUUAACACAGUCACUCAAGUUUCUUAUACUUUUGUACGUGGUCACAACAUCUGUUCUCCGAGCAAUUUAUUGUGGAUUUUAUCAUUUUUUUAAUUAAAUCUAUCCUUUCUAGUUUUAACAUUUAAAUGUCAAUUUUAUUAUUUUUUAUUGUUUUUUUAGUAUAUGUAUAUUUUUGUUAACGUAUGUACUUGUUUGAAUGUUAUUUGUCAAAGAAACUUAUAGUAUGAAUGUAUAAUUUUAUAGUUGUUGUAGUUUGUUUUAGAUUUUGUCAAAUUGUAUCUGUUUGUAAAUUGUUGAAGCUUUAUUUGAAUUACACCGAAUUACAUAUGUUUUGAUGAAAUAAAUAAUAGCUUGUUUAACGAGUCCGUUUUAAUUUUUAUCAAUUUUAUUGCUAAGUUGUGAUUUAUAUAUAUAUAUAUAUAUAUAUAUGGACGUUGAUAAUUGAUAAUUGAUAAUGAAUAUUUAACAUAAGGGUUUUUUUAGUUUGUUGGAUAAUGCCAGGGCAAACUAAUAUUUUUGCAAAUUUAUUUACGUAACAUAGUUAAUUAAUACAUGUUGUCGUCAUAAUUUUAUAGAGGUUCGAUAGAAGUCAUGGAUGAUCGUUCAUGGAUGUAUUGGGACUUACCCCAAGGAUUGCGGAAAAUGGAUUAUUGUAACAGGGUUCAGGGUUUUAUUAAUUUCGCAACAUCUAUUCCGAGGAAUUUUACUGAUGGCGGUAUUAGGUGUCCAUGCAGGAAGUGUAAAAAUAAUAAGUUUUUGCAUCAAGAUGUUGUAACGAUGCAUCUUCUAACCAAAAGGUUAAUGGAGGAUUACUUGUGUUGGUAUUCACACGGAGAACUAUUUGUUCCUAAUAAGAGCAUGAUAGAAAGGGUGGUUGGGUCAACUUCUAGUGCUAGCAACGUGCAUGCAAUUGGAAAUGACAACAGUAAUCCUUACAGGAAUAUGGUUAUGGAUGCAAUGAGAAUGCGUGAAGGUAAUGUCAGUGAAUGUUCAAUCAUAGAAGAAGAACCUAAUGCAGAUGCAACAAGGUUUUUUAAUCUGUUGAAAGAUUCUGACGAACCAUUAUGGGAUGGCUGCACGAACCACAGUAAAUUAUCGGGUUGAGUGAGGCCGGUUAUGACAAGAUUAUCGAAUGGGCGAGAAGCAUUUUACACGAAGGGAAUAGGCUGAAAGAGAACUUCUAUGCUGCAAAGUCCAUGAUGAAACCUCUCGGUUUAGGAUACUAGAAAAUUGACAUGUGCCAUAACUUCUGCAUGUUAUACUACCUUGAAAAUGCUGAGCUGAUCGAGUGCAUGACAUGUGGGCAUUCCUGUUACAAACCCAGAACCGGCAGGGGAAAGACUCUCAUGGCAUAUAAAAAACUUAGAUACUUCUCAAUCACACCUAGAUUGCAGAGGUUAUUCAUGUCACCAAGGACUGCUGAGCACAUGACAUGACACCAAUCACAUCAUGCGGUUGAUGGAGUGAUGGUGCAUCCUUCUGAUAGCGAAGCAUGGAAACACUUUAACAGUGUGCAUCCUUACUUUUCAGCUGAAUCAAGAAACGUGCAUCUUGGGUUGUAUAUAAAUGAAUUCAACCCAUUCGGGUCAUUUGCUGCUCCUUAUUCUUGUUGGCCGGUCAAACUAACGGUUUAUAACUUGCCACCGGGGAUGUGUAUGAGGCGGAGUUCAUGUUUUUAUCUAUGGUCAUACCAGGUCCGAGCUGGGCACUGUUGGUAAGUUAUAAACAUUCUUGUAGUGGAAAAAAAUACCAACCGGAGUUCUCGUUGGUAAGUCUGUUGGUUUUAGUUGAAUUUCUAAUAGUGAUUUUUCCAUGCCGAUCUCUCCAUCAUGUCCAUGAAGAAACAUUCUUGUUAUCUUACUCUCUAGUUAUAAGAAAUUAUAAACCGUGUUUUUUUCACUUAGCUGAGCAUUGUUUACACACUCACUAAACAUUGAACAUUGUGGAUUUGCUGUUCUUUUUCUAAUAAUUCAUUUUGGUCCUCAAAAUUUUAUUUUGUGCGAUUUGAUCCUAAUUGAAAACUAAUUGCUUAUGAUUUCUUAGUCAAAAGGUAAAUUAAAAGAAUAAGAACUAAAAUGAAAAAGACCCCAAGUAUGAAUGGCGUACCAGAGAUGCUAUGCAAAAUAUACUCCGGUCCUCGAUCUUUAAAAAUAACACAAUUCAUACAAUUUAGAUACCUUAAAAUUUUAAAAAAAUCACUUUCGGUACACAAGUUCAUUUGUAUUAUUUUUUAGUCUUUGUUUAGAGAGAGGAGAGAGAGAGAGAGGUGUUGCUAGAUUCUUACAAUUUAGAUGCCUUAAAAAUUUUAAAAAUCACUUUCGGUACACAAGUUUAUUUGUAUUAUUUUUUAGUCUUUGUUUAGAGAGAGGAGAGAGAGAGAGGUGUCGCUUGAUUCCAGUGAGCAGAGAGAAAGUAACCAUUCACUCCAUUUCCAGCCAUCAAAAUGAGUUUUAUUAGUGUCCACGAGUUUGUAAACACUUGGUCAAAUUUUUUUAAUUAGUAAUUUAUUAAAAAGAAAUUAUGAAAAUUAAUGAAAUUAAAAAUAUUUUUUUGAUAAGAAAAUUUAAAAAGAAAGAUAAAUGAACUGAGGUUGUUUGUUCUUGUUGUGAUCCUGUUAUAUUUAUGAUUGUCUUGUUUAUUUGCCAUGAGCGUUGUUAUUGUGUGAAUUUAAUCAAUGCUUGGUGUGUUGUUGUAGAGGUGAUCAUUUUCAGUUCGGUUCGGUUUUUAUCAAAAAAAAAGUAACCAAAAUUGGUUUUUUUUGAAAAAAAACCGAAACCGGUUCAAACCGACCGGUUUUGGUUUGGUUCGGUUAUUUUGGGGAAAAAACCAGUUCAAACCGGUUUGACUCAGUUUUUUCCGGUUUGGCUUGGUUUUUUUCCGGUUUGGUUUGGUUUGGUUUUUUCGGUUUCAGGCUUAUAAAUCCGAAACCGAACCGAACUGGUCGGUUUUUUCAAAAUUCUAAUUGGUUUUUUUUCACGGUUCGGUUUUUUUAGUUAUUGCAAGUCCUUAUCUAAAAAUAAAAUUCUCUUUAUGUCUCCUUUAUCUUAUAGUCAAAUCUAAAAUAAAAAAAGAAUCCACCAAUAGUUCUAGUGUGCGUCCUAAACUUUAUUAGAUUUUUCUUAUCAUAUUUUGUUUAAUAAAAUUCCUUGAUGGUGAUGAUCGAGAGGAUGAUAUUUUGGAUGCAUUUGUGUCAAAUUUUUAUCUAUAUAUUUGAUUUAUCUACAUGCACCAUCAAGUUCUUAGCCCGCCAUUUCCCAGGGAUAAUAUUUAUUUAUUUAUCUUUGUUUAUUUUUAUAUUAAUAUAAACACACAUAUUAGUUUAGGCAACAUAAUAUAAAGCACAAAAACCAUCCACUAGAGUAAUUUUUAUAUUUAUUUUGACAUAACUAUUUCUUAUCUUAAAAUCGAUGUGAGACCAGUUUUAGUUUUAGGGUGUUCUAAUUACCUUUCAAUCUAGAUGGUGACUUUUUUUUUAAUCUUUUAUUUCUUUUACCUUUUCUCCCCUUUCGAACACCAAAAUGUCCCUUGUGAUUUUAGGAUUUAUUGUACAAAACUCAUUAAGGUUAGCUAGACUUAUACCUAGAGUAAUUUUUAUCUUUCGUUAGACAUAAUCAUUUUUUUAUUUUAGAAUCGAUGCAAGACCAGUUUUAGGGUAUUCUAGUUACCUUUAGUUUAUAGUGACUUUUUUUUAAAAAAAAAUUUCUUUUACCUUUUCUUCUCUUUGGAACACCAAAAUGUCCUUUGUGAUUUUAGGAUUCACUGUACAAAAUUCAUUAGGGUUAGCUAGACUUAUACCUAUGUAAAAAAACAUGUAUAUAGAAUUCAAUAUAAAUAAAUAUUAAAAAUUUUCAUGAAUUCAAUAUAAAUAAAUAUUUUUUCUCUAUUAAAUUAUUCUUUUUUCAUAUUUUAUUAUGAUAUCAAAGCCUAUUGCAAAACUGGCAACAUGGCCACCCUAGAAAACAUGUCUUCUUCACAAACCUCUUCAACAUCCUAACCCAAGACAACACAACCCUCGAAGUCGCUAAUUGUUCUUCCGCGUAAUGCUACCAAUUCUACCCUACAAGCAAUUAGUAACAACUUUAUUCAACAUGCCUGUCAUUACCUUUCUAUAAAAUUUAUGAACAACAAUUAUAUUUUUUGGAGCACAUAAUUUCAUCCUUCAUGUAUUCCUCCUUUUUUUUACAUGGCUUUUUAGAUGGCAAUCAUCCAUGCCUUGUUGAAACUAUUAUCAAUGACAACAUCAUGAUUGUCAACCAAGCCUAUAUUAUAUGGGUGCAACAAGAUGAACUCCAUAUGACAUUGAUUGCCUUACUAUCUAUUGAGGUAUUUUUUUUUAUUAUUAUUGGUUGUACUUCAUCUCAUACCAUUCAGACCACUUUAGCAUCGGUAUUGGCCUCUCCCUUCAUGAUACAAAUCAUGUCUAUCCUUACUUUUUGUUCAUCAGUCUUUUAUAGAUAAUGAUAUGUUUUUUGAAUUCUAUGGUAAUUAUUUUCUUAUCAAAUAUUGUAUUUCCAAGACUAUAGUUUUUUCCCAUAGUGUUAAAGGUGGUCUUUAUCUUCUUCAUGCUUCAUCUUAUCUACCAGUACUCUUGCCUUUUAUGUGGUUAGUGUGUCAUCUGAACCCUUGCACCAUUGACUUAUCCAUCCUCACUCUCAUAUGCUACAUCAUAUAGUUUCCCUUAAAAAGUUUAUAAUCUUGCCAUUUAGGUAAACUAGCAAAUUAUCAUCAAGUUCUUCUAAACAUAUAAGCACUACUCAUUUGGAUUUGUUAUUUAGUGAUGUUUAGGCCUUUUUCAUUUACCCUUGAUACAUAAGUAGAGUUACUUUGUUAUUUUUGUUAAUCAUUUUAAUAAAUUUAUUUUAUUUUAUCCAAUGUGUGUCAAAUAAUAAAUAUAUGAUAUUUUUAUUUAGUCUUAAAAACUUGUUGAAAACAAAUUUCUUUCUUGUACUAGAAGCUUGCAAACUAAGACUGCCAACUCAACACGGACAAGGCAUCACCUUCAAUCAUUAAAAUCACUCACUGAUUUUCGAUGUCCACAGCAUAGUAGAAUCUUUAUAUACCUUUCAAACGUAGUUUUGUUUUCAACCAUUCAAUAACAUACCAAAUAUUCUACGAUUCAAAACCUAACCAAACAUUCAAAUACAUAUGAAAAACAAAUCAAUGCCCUUAACAGUCAUCACCCUUCUACGAAAAAUAAAAUAAAAAUUAUAAGUCUUUUAUACCAGUGGGUAAUCCCACUUUCUAUUCUUUUUCGACGUUUAAAAUUAUUUUUUAAUCAACUUAUAUUUUCAUCUUUUAAUUCAACCAAUUAUGCAUUAUUAAUAUAAAUAUAAUUUAAAUUAGUUUGUACGUGUGUGUGUUUUACCUAUUCAUCUUUUCUCAUUUAAUAAAUGCUGAGAAAUUUUAAUUUAGAAGAGGUUAAUUAUCUUACAAAUUAAAAACUCGUAUUAUUACAUGCAUGCAUUAUAGAAAAAGCAAAAGAAUGGAAAACUAAAAAAAGAAGAAGCAGCGUAAUUUAACGUGUCCAUGAGACAAAACUUUUAACAAGAUUGAAUAAUUUUUCUGUUUUUCUGUUUUUAUUUUUUAUUUUUUUUAAUUAUGUAAAAGAAAAUAGAACUUUAACUCAAAAAAAUAUUAAAAUUUUGUAUUUAUCGUAAAAUCUUUUCUUUUUAUGUAACAGAAAUUUUUAGUUAUGCAAGUUCACAUUCUAAUGAAUUUCGUUUAUUUAAUUAUUAAAUAAUGGAUCUUCCAAUGAAAAAAAAAAGGCAAAGGAAAAAACAUGGUUAAAUUUUAGAGUACUCCUAGAUCUACUCAAUGUGUCCAUUUUAAGGAGAUAGACAAAUACAAAAAUGAAAAAAAAAUCAAAUCCAAACUUAUAAGAAAUAAUAAGAAAAAUUUCAUUUAGCCUCCAAAAUAUUUUUUUUCUACAAAAUCCUCAUAAAAACGCAUGUGAAAGUUACUUUUUUUAGAAGACCAAUAAUUUAAAUUUUGGAUAUACAACAAGUUAUUGAGAUAUUCUCAAUUUUGCACACACUAUUUUUGCAUAAUCUUACCAUUAAACUAUUUUGAUCUAUUCUCACAAAAAAAUAGAAUUUUGAUGAAAACAUGAACGAAAGGCUUUAAAAAAUGCACUUUCAGGUUUACAAACAUUGAGGUUACGAGAACAAUAAUGUCGGCCUUUAAAUCAUGGAUGAAAAUUUUAUUAUUUUAAUGGAGCGAGAUUUUCAAAUAUCCUGAAUGAAAACCAUAGGUCGAUGCAUGGUUUUCAAGGUUUAAGGUUAGUAUUAACUUAAAUGUUUUUUAUUAUUAUGUUAAUUCAGUUAAUUUAUUGAAAUUACAAAAAUUUUUCUUUUAUAAAUUUCUGCUGCAAGGGAAAAUUUGAAUGGGAGAGAACUAAUAAUAAUGUUGUGAGGAUGGUUUGGGAAAAUCACACUGCAACUAGGUAAGAUCGAAAUCAGGAUAAUUUUUUUUUAAAAUAUUAAAAUUUUAUUUUUUAUUUACUAACAGAUAAUUCAUUUGUAUCAUAUAGGUUGCGUGAUUUUUGGUACGAGACGCAAAAGAAAGCCCAAAAAUAUACGAAAUAAAAGGAGUUUCCAGACUGAAAUGACGUGGUACUUUGAAGGAUUUCAGACCGCCAUACAUCUUCGAGGUUGUAUGGAUGGAAUACAUUUAGCACGUGAUGUCUGCGCAUUUCACGCGACGGUCACAAUUCAGUGCAGAGAAUCAGAACCAGCAUGUUCGCGAUUCCAUUAUCACGUACACCAGUGACUCCAUUCUAUUCAUUUCCCAUGUGAAGCAGAUGGUAAGACUUUUUUUAUUACAUCCAUUUUUUUUAAUUUUUUUUGUAUUUUAUAAAUACAUUUAACUAACAACAUUUUUAUCUUGCAGGCUAGGUUCUUGGACGCAAGUCAAGCUCGAUGGAUUUUUUGUUGAAAUACACAUGUGGAGUGAUGAUUGCCAAAAAUAGGUUCAACAGUUCGUAGAUAUAUAGCCGAGCUUAACAAUUUAUGGUAUGUUGGUUUUCAACAAGCUUUUUCUCUCCAACACACACAUAUUCUAAAAGUUUAGGGAUUGUUUAAAUUUGUUAUUAUAGCCUAAAACUAAAGUUGCAAAGAACCACAAUGACCCUUGAUUAAAAACAAAAUAGACUAAAAGAUGAAAAGAAAAAUCAUAAAUUUAUUAUUUAAACUCUAUCUAUAUAUUGAUUUUCCUCCUUAACAAAGAUAAGAUAUUUUGUUUCAUAUGUAGUUUGUUCGGGGUUCUAUAAAAGGCAUGUUAAGAAGGUGUUCGAUUUCCGAACUUGUUCUGUUCUCUCUUUAUAUCCAUCUCUCCUUUGUUUAGGUGUCAUGGCAUCAACCAAGCCAGUAAACGUUCUCGAGGUUUGCCAUGUUAGUCCGUCUUCUACCUCACCCGAGUCAAGCACCGAGCUAUAUCUGCCUCUAAUCUUCUCUGAUAUCUUCAACCUCAAAUUCCCUCCGGUUCAAGGCAUCUUUUUCUAUAAACUCACUGAGUUAACCCCUACUUUCUUUAACUUGGUAAUUCUUCCCAAGGUCAAGCACUCACUCUCUUUAACUCUUUCCCACUUCCGUCCUCUUGCCGGUAACCUCACAUGGCCUCCAAAUUCCAUCAAACCCGUCAUUACGUACAAUACUCCAGAUGAUGGUAUUAAACUUACAGUUGCCGAGUCCAGUGCAGACUUUGACCAUCUCUGUAGUGAAGUGCAUGAUGCUAUUGAGUCACAUCAUUAUGUGCCAAAUGUAUCAAUAUCUGAUACUAUAGCCUCUACACUUGCUAUUCAGAUCACUUUAUUUCCAAAUAAAGGUUUUUGCAUCGGCCACACCACUAACCAUGCUGUUCUUGAUGGCUUGAGCGUAUCCUUUUUCAUGAAUGCAUGGGCUCGCAUUUGCAGACAGUUAGUCGAUGAAAAAAUGGAAAUCCCUAGCUUGUUACCGGAAGAACUAACCCCGUUUUUCAAUCGAACAGUUGUUCAGGAUCCUGAAGGGCUAGACAUGUGGUACUUGAAUUUCUGGCUGGGAGUAAAACUUCCAGGUUCCGAUGACAAUACUAGAAGUUUGAAGCCUUUUCCAUUUCCAGAAACUCCACCAAACCUGGUAAGAACAACGUUCGAACUCUCUCGUGAAGAUAUACAGCAGCUUCGGGAAACGGUAAAGUCUCAACUGGAUAAUUUUGGAUCCAAAGAGGAAACAAAUCAAACAAAGCCAAUAUAUUUGUCGACUUAUGUGCUUGUAUAUGCAUAUACGUUGGUUUGCAUGCUUGAAGCAAAAGGAUUAAAUAGCAAUGAUAAGAUUAAAAUCUUGAUUACCGUAGACUGUAGACCCCGUUUAAACCCUCCAUUACCUAAGAAUUAUAUUGGUAAUUGUGUUAGCUCCUUUGAUGUGGUUGUGGAAGGAGAAGAUCUAAUGAAAGAGAAUGGGGUUGCGUAUGUUGCGAAGAGGCU
This 30197-nucleotide long non-coding RNA is filed under the name Populus trichocarpa (black cottonwood). RNAcentral's name for it is "long non-coding RNA (PTRI_LNC001190)". The record is from RNAcentral. Lineage: Eukaryota; Viridiplantae; Streptophyta; Magnoliopsida; Malpighiales; Salicaceae.